Molecule: ribosomal RNA, 253 nt
Filed under: uncultured bacterium
Lineage: Bacteria
Description: partial 16S ribosomal RNA
Rfam family: Bacterial small subunit ribosomal RNA
Source: RNAcentral
UACAGAGGGUGCGAGCGUUAAUCGGAAUUACCGGGCGUAAAGCGUGCGUAGACGGCUAUCUAAGUCGGGUGUGAAAGCCCCGGGCUCAACCUGGGAAUUGCAUUCGAGACUGAAUAGCUAGGGUGCGGUAGAGGGAAGCGGAAUUUCCGGUGUAGAGGUGAAAUUCGUAGAUAUCAGGAGGAACACCGGUGGCGAAAGCGGCUUCCUGGCCCGACAUUGACGCUCAUGUACGAAAGCGUGGGGAGCAAACAGG